AGGGAUCAUUACCGAGUUUACAACUCCCAAACCCAAUGUGAACCAUACCAAACUGUUGCCUCGGCGGGGUCACGCCCCGGGUGCGUCGCAGCCCCGGAACCAGGCGCCCGCCGGAGGGACCAACCAAACUCUUUUCUGUAGUCCCCUCGCGGACGUUAUUUCUUACAGCUCUGAGCAAAAAUUCAAAAUGAAUCAAAACUUUCAACAACGGAUCUCUUGGUUCUGGCAUCGAUGAAGAACGCAGCGAAAUGCGAUAAGUAAUGUGAAUUGCAGAAUUCAGUGAAUCAUCGGAUCUUUGAACGCACAUUGCGCCCGCCAGUAUUCUGGCGGGCAUGCCUGUCCGAGCGUCAUUUCAACCCUCGAACCCCUCCGGGGGGUCGGCGUUGGGGAUCGGGAACCCCUAAGACGGGAUCCCGGCCCCGAAAUACAGUGGCGGUCUCGCCGCAGCCUCUCCUGCGCAGUAGUUUGCACAACUCGCACCGGGAGCGCGGCGCGUCCACGUCCGUAAAACACCCAACUUCUGAAAUGUUGACCUCGGAUCAGGUAGGAAUACCCGCUGAACUUAA
RNAcentral lists this ribosomal RNA (566 nucleotides) under uncultured Trichoderma. Its description in RNAcentral is "eukaryotic LSU rRNA". The stretch from base 197 to 350 matches the Rfam family "5.8S ribosomal RNA". The record is from RNAcentral. Lineage: Eukaryota; Fungi; Ascomycota; Sordariomycetes; Hypocreales; Hypocreaceae.